UACGGGGGGGGUAAGCGUUGUUCGGAAUUACUGGGCGUAAAGGGCUCGUAGGCGGCCAACUAAGUCAUACGUGAAAUCCCUCAGCUUAACUGGGGAACUGCGUGUGAUACUGGAUGGCUUGGAUUUGGGAGAGGGAUGCGGAAUUCCAGGUGUAGCGGUGAAAUGCGUAGAUAUCUGGAGGAACACCGGUGGCGAAGGCGGCAUCCUGGACCAACACUGACGCUGAGGCGCGAAAGCUAGGGGAGCAAACGGG
This 253-nucleotide ribosomal RNA is filed under the name uncultured bacterium. Its description in RNAcentral is "partial 16S ribosomal RNA". It matches the Rfam family "Bacterial small subunit ribosomal RNA", at positions 524 to 776 of the family's 1533-position model. The record is from RNAcentral.